RNAcentral lists this long non-coding RNA (2479 nucleotides) under Calidris pugnax (ruff). RNAcentral describes it as "lncRNA (ENSCPUG00000008243.1)". The record is from RNAcentral. Lineage: Eukaryota; Metazoa; Chordata; Aves; Charadriiformes; Scolopacidae.
UGUUGUGGUUUUUUUCUUUGUUUUUUUUUUUUUUUCUGUGAUUGGACUCGAUGAUCUCAAAGGUCCCUUCCAACCACGAUUCUGUUAAAAUCUGAUUUCUUUUUCCAGCCCGCACGCUUCCUCCCUGCUACUCCGCCGACCUGCGCCCGGCCUCGGAGAGACUCGUCUCGGCCGUGGGCUGCACCGUGCUCCUCACCGUGCCGCCUCCCAGGGCCAGCCAAGGUGUCUUCUGGGAGUACAAAACCGGCCCUCAGGAAGGGGUCAUCCUCAGCUACGCCUUCGACAGAGCCCCCAACACCUCUCGCCCCUACGAGAACCGCACCCGGUUCAACGAGACCGACUUCUCGCUGCAGAUGGUGCUGCAGCAGGGGGACGGCCGGCUCUACCGCUUCAGGUCCGAGUCCGAGGCCACGGGCUGGUUCCAGCUCCAUGUUGUUGAACCCCUGUCCGAGCCAGAAAUCGUGGGCAACUCCUCAGUGAAGGCAGGAGCCAACACCAAACUGGUUUGCAACGUCCUGGAAGGGAAGGCAGACUUGUACUGGUGGAAGAAAAAUGGGGAGCUGCUGCUGGGAAGCGACCACAUCCAGUUUGUGGACAACAGCACCCUGUGCAUCCUGAAGGCCUCCAUGAACGACAGCGGGUACUACGCCUGCGUGGUGCGCAACCAAGUCAGCCAGAACGAGACCUCCUUCCUGCUCCACGUCCAGCAUGCUGCCAACGUGCUGUUGCCCGUGAUCCUGGCGUGCGUGGUGGUGGGCUCGCUCGCAGGUGUCUUGGUCUGGUGCAGAAGGGACCGCCCGUGUCGCAACAUCUGUAGGUAGAGCUUGACUGGCUGUGCCCUUCCUGCCUUCCCCCGAUGGUGGUGGAUGCUGCCUGGGGAGCGCUGGACCCCUGAUGCCAUCACAACCUCUUCUGGGCUCACCACUGAACUGCUCCAGCUGCCAAAGCCAACAACUAUUUGUAAAACACCGUCCAGAACUAUUUCUUUGUGGUCCUGCUCUUCCCCAGGGCCCCUUCCACGUCCCUGGGGGAGAGGUGGGCACGGCCAUGCCUGGAGACCCUGCUGCUGCUGUCCUCCAGACCUCCCUACCUCUCCUGCCUUCCUCCGGGGCGGGCCAAGAGCCUGUGGAUGGGCUGAGGGCUCUGGAAGGAGCCACCACCAUCCCCUCUGGACAAACACAUGGUCCUGGGGCUGCUGGGGGGCGUGCCGUGGUGCCAGCCCCUGUGUCCCCAGGGCUUGAGCCCCUCACCAUGGCCUGGGACUUGCCAGGGUGGCUCGGGGGCUGAGACCGUGGGCGUUCUGCUGGGUUUGGCCCUUGGAGGGAGGAAAAAGGGCAGGAUUUUGCUGUCGUGUGCCCUGGGGAGGGUGGGAGACGAGCGGGGCCGGUGGAAGGCGGCAGGGGAGGGGGGAGCAGCAACGUAGGUUUGUUUUAGGAAGGAAACCCCAAAGGAACCCCCGUGGCUGCGUUACAGCAGCACCAGAGCCUGGCGUGGGAGACCUAGGGAUGCUGCCGAGCCCAUCUCCUCUGUCCUCCAGCCUUGGGCUCCGAUGGGAUUUGGGGACAUCACUCCUCUCCUGUGUGUGCCAAUAGAAGCUUGUCCUUCCCCUCUGCCACUCCUGAGGUGAUGGUAGACUUGGUCUGCUUUGAUACGGCCAGGGCAGCCCCAACGCCAGCCCCUGGGCCCAUUACCUCCCCUCCCCUGCUGCUUCUGCAGAGCUCUUCUGGGCUUUGCUCCUCAAGGGAUUCUUAUUUUUUUUCCUAUAGUUGAAAUUAAUUAGCCUGGAGGCACGACUGGCCUCUUCACCCUGGAGAAAACUGGAUGCUCUCUCAGGAGUGCUCGACCUCACAAAGUGCCUUGUGAGCCUCAGGACGGGGCGUUUGCACCCAUCUUUCAUUCUGAUGGGGACACCCCCAGGUCCAGCACCCCAUCUGAGCUGGUCCCCAUGCUGGGGACAGGUGGUUUGGGUGCUCUGGUCGCUGCUGGAUGGUCCCUUCUCUCCCAGAGCAGGUGGCCUGGGGACUUCUCCUCAUUCCCAGCCAUGAAGUGAACGCUACGGGUGGAUGGUUCUCCUCCUUGGGUCUUGUUUGUGGACCUGCUUCUGCAGCAAAGGGCUUUCCUGGCUGGGGCAGGGGGUGUCUCCUUGGAGUUACCUCCUCUCAGUGGAGAAUAGAAGGGCAAUCAGGAGUCUCACGUUGUGUCCCACGGUGUGAGCAGUCCCUGAGCUGUCCUGCAUCUAUUUCUGGGGCAAAUCCAAAAAUAAUGGGAGAGUGAGCUGGCUUGUGGCUUGACCAUCUUGGCCAGUGCCUGCCCUCCCUGCUCGGGCAGACGGUGCAGCGGAGAUCAGUCCUGGGGAGAAAAUGGGGAUCUAAAAGCGCCACCAGCAACGGGACCUCUCUCAGCCUGGGAUUUCACGUUGCAAUUAAAGCACUAAAGGAAGCAGAGCAGUUUGGGCGGAAUAAACCAGAUUUGAACCUCA